RNAcentral lists this transfer RNA (71 nucleotides) under uncultured Anaerobiospirillum sp. It matches the Rfam family "tRNA". From Rfam's summary of the family: Transfer RNA (tRNA) molecules are approximately 80 nucleotides in length. Their secondary structure includes four short double-helical elements and three loops (D, anti-codon, and T loops). The record is from RNAcentral. Lineage: Bacteria; Pseudomonadati; Pseudomonadota; Gammaproteobacteria; Aeromonadales; Succinivibrionaceae.
UGCUUAGCUCAGCUUGGUUAGAGCACCUGCCUUACAAGCAGGGGGUCAUAGGUUCGAGUCCUAUAGUAUCC